GGCUUUGCGCAGUGGCAGUAUCGUAGCCGGUGAGGUUUAUCUGAGGCGUGAUUAUUGCUAAUUGAAAACUUUUCCCAAUACUCCACCGUGACGACUUGCAAUACAGUCGGAACUGGCAAUUUUUGACAGUAUCUGUGGAGA
Molecule: small nuclear RNA, 141 nt
Filed under: Aotus nancymaae (Ma's night monkey)
Lineage: Eukaryota; Metazoa; Chordata; Mammalia; Primates; Aotidae
Description: U4 spliceosomal RNA (ENSANAG00000011837.1)
Rfam family: U4 spliceosomal RNA
About the family: U4 small nuclear RNA (U4 snRNA) is a component of the major U2-dependent spliceosome. The structure of U4 snRNA from yeast and human has been reported.
Source: Rfam by way of RNAcentral